This 255-nucleotide ribosomal RNA is filed under the name Umbilicosphaera hulburtiana. RNAcentral's name for it is "partial large subunit ribosomal RNA". It matches the Rfam family "Eukaryotic large subunit ribosomal RNA", at positions 132 to 386 of the family's 3401-position model. The record is from RNAcentral. Lineage: Eukaryota; Haptophyta; Coccolithales; Calcidiscaceae.
GCCCCCCGCAAUUGUGGUCUAGAAAGGCGCCAUCGGCCAUUCGCGUCGCUCAAAUCCCUUGGAACAGGGUAUCGGAGAAGGUGAGAAUCCUGUGCCGUGGCGCGGAAUGGCCGCACGAUGCGUCCUUGUCGAGUCGGGUUGCUUGGGAUUGCAGCUUGAAGUGGGUGGUAAAUUCCAUCUAAAGCUAAAUAUUGGCGAGAGACCGAUAGCGAACAAGUACCGUGAGGGAAAGAUGCAAAGAACUUUGAAAAGAGA